Strigops habroptila (Kakapo) is the source of this 903-nucleotide long non-coding RNA. RefSeq lists it as uncharacterized. The transcript has 3 exons. NCBI's taxonomy places the organism in Eukaryota, Metazoa, Chordata, Aves, Psittaciformes, Psittacidae. The record is from RefSeq and is a predicted model, not a curated record.
CCUUCCCCUGUGCUUCCUAAAAUCUGGACCUUUUCAGCUGAGCCUAUAGAAGUGGAUAUGCGCAAGAGCUGCAGUGGCUUUGUGAGCACUGUGUGCUGCAUAGAUACGAUAGUUCUGUGCCAGAGCUGGUAGGGCUGGUCUCUGGUUUGUAUGCAGCUGCUAGGGCCAGAGUGUGUUCAGUGUAUCCUGUUUGGUCCAGGUGUUGCAGUGCUUUUUAGAGCUCAGUUGGUGUAAUGUCUUUUUACUAAUUUAGGACAGUCAACUCUUUGUACAGCAUCUCAGAGGCUUGUAUUUGUCUCUGUAUUAGCAUUAGAGUAGGUCCCUCUUCAGUAUAGCGCAAGAAAGGAAAGAGGAUAGCAACACACCUUAAUGGUCAGUGGGUAAUUAGUUUGUUCUGUGUAAAGUUAGAUAGCAAAUGGAAAUGCAUUUCACAGCCAUCUCUCUUCAACUUGUGCAUUGUAGAGUUCUUUUUUUCUUAAACGGUAAGUGCUGACUUAGACACUGAGGUUUAAAUGAUGUUUUCAGCACGUCUGCAUUGUCACACUCCUGGCUUUGGUUACCAAGUCCCUACCCUGCCAACCACUCUAUGCUCUUGGUGCAGGAAGGGCAUCUCCAGAGAGUAAUGAAGGAGGGAGUGCUAGACUCAGAGGCACCCAGUGAAACCCCGGGCAACUGGCUGGAAGCACCAUGUUUGCACUGUUGCAGUGGGAGAGCAGUUGGCUCAGUUUGGAGGGACUGAGCUCAAAUCAAAGGCACUUCUCGAAGGCAGGUGUGGCCAGCCCACUGCCCUUGAGCACCUGGGACUUGAAAGCCGUUCUCAUGCAGCUGCGAAGUCAUGGUCAUGUCCCAGGAGUUGUGGUAGUCUGAGUUAGCUGAGGUCACUUGAGACUGCCUGUGCUUUCU